CCAUACAGACAACAUGAAUCAACAGCAGUGCCACCGUUACAACAAUACUACUGAUACGAAGGCGCUUUUCAAAAGUUACCCGAACUCAAGAAGCCCGUGAUAGAUCAACAGCAGUGCCACCAUUUUAGCUGUCAUGGAAUGGACCGACCUUAGAAGAGACUGCAGACACAUAUCAGGAUUCAGGAGGAGGGAGGGAUAAAGCCCGUUAGAGAAGAAAGUACAAAAUACUCGACGUGACUCUUUUUUUUUUUUUUUUUUUUUUGUAUAUAUGACUCAUAGUCAUAUAUUAUCCUGUUAAGUUCAAAAGAGUCAUGAGACUUCAGUCAAAGUCACUGAUGCCGCCGUUUUGGGUGGAAGAAAUUUUCAGGCAACGAGCGAGUCAUAAGAGUCGGAGGAGCCUCCGACGGGUUGCUCGGGUGAUCGUGUAGUCCUCGUUAAGGUGAGACAGCCUGUGUUCGAUCUCGAGCUCAGCAAUCCGAUGCAAUUUCCUGAUGAGGAUCGGUAGAGCCCGUUCUCCUCGGAGUUGGAGACUAAUCAGAUAUAGGCUCGGACACCCCCAACAAGAUCAUAAGAUUCGGAGCACCUCCGCAAUCUGUCAGCUGAGGAUAAUACUAUAUAUAUAUAUUUUUUUUUUUAAAUUAUUGGAGUAGCGUACAUAUGGAUAUGGGUAAGAAUGAAUGAUCCCGCGAUUCGCGUCGAAACAGGUGCUAAGAGCCCACCAAAAAAAAAUAAAAAGGGAAACAAAUGGAACAAGCACACCAUUUUCUUUUAACCCGGAGUUUGGGUGAUAUAGCUGCAGAUAUCAUCAUCCACCACGACAAGGCAUCUCAAUUUGACUGCGACUACUUUUGAAAUUAUCAAUUCCGAUUGUAUGAAAUUAACACAACUGAUUUACACAUGAAAACAAUCACGCGUAAAAAUACAAUAUAUUCUGAUACUCUUUUUUUUUUUUUUUUAAAAAUACGUGUCUCACUCUCAAUCUCAUCCACUCAAUUCUAAGUCAAACUUGUAAUUGUUGAAGUCCUCCAAAACCAUUUGAAUCAUUUUACGUACUAAAAAAAUAAAUUGCUUAACACGAACAAUCUCUUGAUAAAUUAACCCAAAAAAAAAAGGGAGAGAGAGAGAGAGAGAGAAAUCUUUCCCGGGCAUCAGUUUUUUUUUUUGGUGUUCCCCUUCCCAGCACCCGUUAACGUACAGAAAUUGAUAAAAUCAUUGAGCAAAAAUAUAAAAUAGGUGGGUGGUCCCAAGACUUGUUUCCUCAAAUGAAAGGGACAAAAAGAGCAAAAGUCUUACUUUGAACUUACUUGGACUCCUUAAUAAUCAAUACAGAAAUUUCUUGGCCUUCGCAUGCUGCGCCGUUGAAAUUAGUGGAAGGUCUGAAUUUCGAUGGAGUUGAACUGGUCCAAACUUUUCUGCAGUCUUCAUAUUGUAUGUCUAUUACUACAUCCAAAUUAAUAAGAAAACUGUUAGUACCUUUGCAUGCUACAUCUAAAUUUCGUCAAUAAUAAUAAUCCCUUCACAAAUACUAGUGCAUACUCUCUUGGAAUUGGAAUGACAACAAUCUUAUCUGCAUUCUUAAAAUUCAAAACUACGUCAGUAUUUGUCUGUAAGCCAAUGGCUGCAGGGUUUAAUUCUACAGGAACUGGACCGAAUAUAUGUAUGAUAUCCGAGUGAUAUCUAUGAGCCUAAUUUCAAAUCAUGUUGCUUCCAUCCACUUAAAACCUCAUGUGCAUGGAUGCCCAUAUGCAAAGAUGUACCAAGUAGUCAUUCGUCAUACAUCAUCGCAUAAACAAUUACAUACGCUAGAGAGAGAGAGAGAGAGAGAGAGAGAGAGGUCUUCCCUCCCUCUUCCUUUAUUGUCAAGGUCUAGGGUUCCAUUUCCCAUUUGUUGUACGUAGUAGCAACUGUAACUCGCAUUUCUUGAGGCCCCCCUUACAUGGAAGACUCAUGCUAAGAAAGUCUUUUGGAUCUCUCAUUUUUCAAAGAGAACUGUCUCCUGCUCCGUAACCCUCAGGCAAGAACGAGACGGAAUUAAGGGGUAUAAGAGAUACAGCAAAGGUUUCUCUUCAGCUAGGUAGAAGGGAAGGCGCGCCCGCGCACACACAUGCCCUAAUCACGUUAAUUAGCUGUCGGAUUUCAUCAGUCGUGGUGGCUUCUUUUGUAAAUAAUGAUGACCCAUUAAACCUGAUACAGAAAAAGGCCAUUCGAAGUACCAUAAGAUAGAUGGAGGGAAGUGAGGACACCGAGUGCUCCAAGGCAUGCCCUUCUUCUGGGAAAGAUGAGGUGGACGAGAACGACGGUGAUAAACAGAAAGACGGAGGAAGCUCAAGCAACAGCACAGUUGAAGAGAAUGAGAACAAGCCCUCUGUGAGGCCUUAUGUCCGAUCCAAGAUGCCUAGACUCCGUUGGACACCUGAUCUUCAUCUCCGCUUCGUUCAUGCAGUGGAGAGACUUGGUGGACAAGAGAGUAAGCUGUCUUUCUAAUUCCUGUCCUCGUCAACUCACCUCGACUUGUAAACAAAUUAUACCAUUGAAAUCUGUUAAAGGAGAUGGUAUUAAUUAUUCCUUUUGGUGCAGGAGCGACACCUAAAUUAGUUCUUCAAUUGAUGAAUAUUAAAGGGCUAAACAUUGCUCAUGUCAAGAGUCAUUUGCAGGUAAUUCAAGGGUCUCUCUCAAUCAUUGCGUUACAGAUCGUAUGGUCUUCGACUGAUUAUAUUCUCCUCUUUUUUUUUUCCUCCUUUUGUGGUUCUAAUGGUUGUAUCCAAUAGAUGUAUAGAAGCAAGAAGAUCGAUGACCCCAGUCAAGGUAUAUAUGCUAUUUCUGGCUCUCUGUCUGCUUUUUCCCCACUUCUCCCUCAGUGUCCCUACUUUUUGAAGGGUUUCCCGUUACUGGUUGAACAAUACCAUUUCAGAAGGCAUCUUAUAAAUGCAAAAAGCCCUUUCUUGGUACAGGGGUAACAGAUCAUAGCCAUCUUUGGGAAGGUGUGGAUCGAAAUAUUUUCAACUUGGGCCAAAUUCCCAUGCUUCCAGGUCUUCAUCAAAACCAGAAGUCCACCUUCAGGUAUACAGAUUCAGCUUUCAACAGAAAAUUUAUGUGAUCAAAUAAGAGCAAAAAAGUAAAGGGAAUUCCUUCAAAUGCCCUAUGUGGAGGCCAAUUGUGUAUUUGUUCGCCUCGGCACCGUCUUAGGUUAGGGCCGUGGUAGUGCUUGGAGGGAGGCCUCCCCAGGAUCGAUCCCUGGUCCUUUAGGAUAAAGGGUCUUGGGGAUGUUUCCUGGUACCACUUGAGCUACUAGCUCAAGACCCUCUAAAGGACCAGGGACCAGGGAUCGAAUUCUAGGGAGGCCCCCCUCCAAGCACUACCACGACCCUAACCUAAGACGGUGCCGAGGCGAACAAAUACACAAUUGGCCUCCACACCCUACAACAUCUGUAUGUGAACAUAUAUCUUACUAUUAGUCAAGCUUGGGAGUUUGGGUGGUAGUUUUUGGUUCUGGUGUCUAAUCUCACAUCUUGGAAUGUGUCCGUUGGAUUUAAGGUACGGAGAUGCGUCUUGGAAUGGCCUAGAGAAUUCGAUGCAAAUGUCCGCGAUGAGACAGAGUACUAACAAGAAGAGGCCAGGGUUUUAUGACACAUGGCCUGGAAGGAUCGUUGGCUCAAGGAAUAAUGAUGUUUAUUCCGGGUUCCGGAAUUCAAAUCAACUAUGGUCUUGGCAAACUCAUGAAUUAGAAUCCAAAAUGCAAUCACUUCCCCAACAAGAAUACUGGCAAGAUCAGUUAAAAUCCUCAAUUCAGGUGCAAUUAAAAGUUCAAGACUUCAGCUCAUGCAGAAGUAAUAUUCCGGGCGUAGGCAGAAGUAUGAUUCAGAAAAAGCGAGCAGGAGUGAAGAGGAAGGCAACAGAUUGCAACAUCCACUUGAAUCUAUCCCUUGGUCUAGGGCCGAUUGGCGAUGGCCACCAGGACAGUUUGGAGGAUGAUGACGGCCAUUUAUCAUUGUCGUUGUGCUCACCAUCUUCCUCCAAGAUUACAAGGUUGAUAGAUGAUGCUAGUAAAGAGAAUGCAAGUGGCGCAAGUACUCUGGAUCUGACUCUAUGAAUGACACAUUCUAAGUGAGAUCUUGAGGUACUUGCUGCAUGGAAGGCGCCCGCUGAAUACCUCGUAACGUGUUACAUAUAAGGUAACAGCCAGCAUAACUUUUCCAUGCUUCUUUGUUGAUGUUACAGUAACAGUACGUUGCAAGUUAGCUAGUACAGUCUAGCGUUCCACUUAUAUCAUUAAUCAUAUUACUUCGGACAGAGUUUAACUUUAGUUGAUUUAAUGUCCUACUAGAGAAAAGGAGAGAGCAACUUCUUCGGGAAAUGAUACAUUCACAACAUUCCGUUCAAAUUAAAUCCACAUUCUGAACAAGUCUCGAUGUUAUUCGUGAGAGGUAUUUAAAAGGGUGCCAACACGAGUAAAUUUAAUUGAAAAUAAUGGGCCAGCUUUCAUAAAAUAUUGUGUAUUUAAAUCUCACUGUCAACGUGAGAACUGUGUUAAUUUAUCUUUAUAAACCAUCUAUGGUUUUAAACCCAUAUCCUAACCUGUAGAGGUGGCUAAAGUCGAAUCGGUCCAAAUUUUUUACUGCCAAAAAAAAAUUUAAAUGCCAGAAAGGAAGUUCAUUUUGGAUGAAAAUUCUAGGAAGGCCAAAUGUUUACACAGCUAAUAUUAGUGUAAUGCAGGCAGCCACGUUUAGAAUUCUGGCAGUUUACCCAGGCAGUAGGGAAGAAAAUUGACCAUCCAAUGUCUAGGAUUUUUUUCCAACUUGGACGAUUGAAAUGACCCAAAUCUGGCUGUGUGCCGUGCCAGUAUAUAUGCGAUGACUUGGGCACAUAUUAGUCAGGAAAGAUAAUAUGCUUAGAUAAGUAGAUGCUAGUAGUUAUUUGGGCAUUGUUGAUGACUUGGGCACAUAUUAGGCAAGAAAGAUAAAUGUACUCAGAUAAGUAGAUGCUUGUAGUUAUUUGGGCAUUGUAGAGAAGAAACUAAGAAGAAAAUUUUCACCCUUCGUACGUCAAUAAUUCAUCAAACCACAUAUUUAGCAGGAGAAUGAACCUCCACUGUAUAUUAGAAUGAACCUCCACUGUAUAUUAGACCUGCUCCCGUUAUAUCAUAUCUGUCAGGACUACUCUUCCUUGAGGUUUUCAAUAGUAUAAUUGAAUGAUAAUUCUUUCGUGUGACAAGUGACCAAUAUGAUGUAUCCAAGUCCUCAACCACUUUUUGGACUAUUUUAAGCUUUUACCUCGGUAGAGAGUGACACCAUGCAUUGUGAUAUCCGUAACCGAAACAAGUAGAGAUAUGCAGUAUAGCUAUGUAAGAGCAAUUCAUUUAUUAUUGUGUUAGAACCCAAAAAAAAAAAAAGAAAGAAAACUUAUUAUUGCGGGUAGAGACUAGAGAGAGAUAAUGGAAACAGGAAUACCGGAUCUUCAGCAAGAUCAUGGACCGCUGUGAGCCUGAGGGGGACGGCAGAGAUGAUUUUCCUAACACAAGCAUAGGAAUGAACCACCUUGGCAAACCCUAACAGAGGUUACCCAUUCAAUAUCAGGUUAGCCAGGAGUCAUUGAACAAAGCAAAAUUAGAGUUUAGAGAACCAUGCAAAGAAUUUCUUACCUUCCGUGCCUCUGUGGAGUUUUUCAGAGUCUGUCAGCUGUUUUUGCUCGGAACUCAUCCUGAUGUGCUGACGAAUAUCCAUUGAUCUCGAGAGGAGAUCAAAUUAUGGGCAGGAAUUAGGCAGCUCGCAGAACAGAAAUUCCAUUGAACGACUUCUAACUAUACAUAGGAUAAGCAAAACUGCAAGGGAAAGAGGCUUACCGUUCAAUCUGCACCAGGGCGAUUUAUUUUUAUAUAUGCCAUCUAUAGUGCCUACCUGCACAUACCCUUAGGUGCUUCAAACCAAAAGCAAGCCACUGGUUGUAUGGUUCGUGGAAGGGAUAAGACUGUUGAGAUUAAAUAUAAGUUUGGUUGAUAUUCAUGAAAGCAUUAUGUUUGGUACAUAUAAGUCUUAUUUAGUGGUUACCCAAAUCAAACUAACCUAAAUAAAAUCAUUAGAUUUUUUUUUUUAUACGAUAUCAACUUUUGGCCCUGUUUAUAUAUGGAAUUUUUUUCAAAUACUAUUUGAAUUGAAUUAUAAAUGCAUUUUUUCAACUAAUUUUUUUUAUAUUUCUAAUUAUCUUUUUUUCUUAUAUAUAUAAUAUCACAAAAAAGUGUUACAUAAUUAUUCCAAAUAUUUUUUUUUUCAAAUAAUCUCCAAUCCAAACACAACCGUUGUCUCCCAGGAGUUGGACAUGUUAUUAUGUAAAAAAAAAAAAAAAAAUUCUGAUUUUCUAACCACUUUUCUCAAAAUGUACUAAUUUCCAAAUGUGUAGGUCGAGCCACGGUAUCUACUAGAAAGGAGCCAAGUUUACAGUAGUAUAUAUGUACUAUUGUGUUAUCCAAAAUUGUAAGAUUCUUAAAACAAUCAAACAAAUUUAAAUAUUAGAGUAUUUGAUUUGAUUAGACUCGCUCCUUUCUUAAGAUGACAGUUUAGAUGGCCAACUCAAAUUUCUUGAGGCAAAAAUAUUGGCGUGGCACUUACUCUUGUUCCAUGAUCAAGUAGAAAAAGAAAAAAGAAAUCCGAUCACUCAGAUUUACCGGGUGAAACUAUCCUUGUACCUUUCUAAAACAGUGAUGAAUCAUUUAUGCAUUGUUAGUAUCUCAAAUUUGCACAACUAGGCCUAAGAAAUUUAAUAAGCUUUCGAUUCACUCGUGCAAGUAAUUCUACAAGUCAACAGUCUGUCAAGCACUAAUGCAUUAGCCCCCCGCCACCCCCCCCCCCACCCACAAAUCAAAAACCAAGCCACCUUUUACCCACAACCUACCCUAGGAAACAAAAAACCCAAGAAACUUGCACAAGAGAAACAGUUGCAGUUUGCAUAAACGGGGACCAAAGGUCAAUUGUUCAACUCAGUAAAAGUCGAUAGGCCAACUAAGAUUGGCUUAGUUGUGUUUUUCAACUUAGAUCGGACCGAUCGGUUCAACCGAUUGACCUGAGAACCGAGUAGGCAUUCAAUCCGAAUUGUUCUAAAGAUUCGUCGAACAAACCUUCGGCCAAACUCGAUCAAAAAUCUAGUUUGACUAGAAACCAGAAGAACCGCUUCGAACUGGAUUAUUUUUUCCAUCUUUUCCUUUUUUACAUUUUUGUUUUUCUUUUUUGAUUUUUUCUUUUAACUACUCUCAAAUCUUUUCACAUAUCCUUCCAUAAAUCUCUCUCAAACAACUCCAAUGGAAGAUCUAAGUUCAAAAAGGGAUGAAACAUUAAAAAAAAAAAAAAAGUAAGUAAAAAAUUCACUUAGAAACAUUUUAUCAAUUUUAUGAUUUGACCUCUAGAGUACUAGAAAACUAUUAUUAUACCUAUAAGCAUUUUAGAACUUAUAGCUAUAUCCCUAAAUUCUUGUAUUUCUUUUCAAAUAAGCCCUUCAAUUUGGUUCUAAACUUGUUGAAUAUGCAUUAAAUUGCUACUUAAUUAUACUACCUUAUUUGUAUUUUCUUGUAAAGUAUUUUAGAAACAUCAAACAUACAUUAAACCUACCUUUCUUAGUAUUAAUAUGUUUUUAAAAAUUUUACAUAAUAUAUUGAUUUUUAAAAUUAAAUAUAUUUAUGACAUUAUCUAGUUCUUGGAUCUAACACAUUGACCCCUGACCCCUACCCACGACCAGUCAAUGGUCUGAGUCUCAAAACAGUGGGCUUAGUCGGUAAAGCUCAUUCAAAUUUCUUGAAGCAGGUUUGGAUUUCGAGUUGAGAGUCCAAUUGUUGGCAAUUACCUUUCAAUGAUCGGCGAUCUGUGAGAAUUACACUAAAUUGUUGAAUAAUAUUUGAGUAAUCUACCUCAAUCUUGCUAAUAACCAUUAUAAACUGCUGAAAAAUACUAGAAUGACCUUACGUUGAAGAGGGUCUACUCAAUACUUCAUGUACAUAGAGCGCACAAUGAGAAUAUCGCAAGGAGAACAAGGCAUUACGUGCAGCAAAUGGUUGACAGCGCAAGCGCACCACAAACAUCCGACUGCACAAUCUAUUGUCAAUCGUUCGGUGGUUCGCUCAGAUUAGAUCUCAAGCUACUCUUCCACGCUCAAAAUUUUCCACAUUCCAAAUUUCCACCUUCAGACACCAUAUUAAAUUGAUAGUACAAAAACAUUUAAGUUACUCUAGUGUAAUGCCCAAGCUCGCUGGCAAGGAUAUUCCUAGCAUCUUCAACUAGGCCGCUGUCUCAUGCGAUCGGUAAGGCGUUCUCCUGUUGCUGGACGCAACUGCUACAAAAUGAUUGAAAACUGGCCAGGACAAUGCCCGAUCUGCAUACAAAAUUCGUGUUUGACGAGAUGUCAUGUUACUCACCCCAAACCACUACCCACAUCAAAUCAUAAUCCUAGCUUUUUCCCAAUGAAAAGAUUAAUGGAACAGUCUAAUUUAGGAGUACCACAAACCAUUCUCUCUUGUUUUCACCUUUGCAUCUUUUCCGACAUUAAUUACGUUGACUUCUCCGUGUUUGGAGCAAAUUUUCCAACAUGACUCCAUGUGAUAGUAGAUUCUAGUUUUGCUCUUGCAAGUCAAUAACAUUCUCACAAAUACCAUCCCGACGGUCAAUGGAAAACUUUCAAACCUUGAACCAAUAAUAUAUAACUAUAUAAUCGUGCCCCACCUGUAAGAAUUUAGAAGAGCCUAAGGAAUACUCCAUAAGCUCGCUGAUGCUUAUCUGGUUAUCCCAACUGCAUACAGAAACAGUUCAGCUACAGUGCCCGAUUAGCUGAACAAGGACAACAAUGCAUGGCCAAAUUGUUUCUGCUGCACCGGUUGCCAUGCAAGGGAUGCCAGGUCUAGUAAUUCUGCAUGCCGGAAUGGUUAAGAAGAAAUGGGCACUAAAUUCAGCCUUCAUGACACUUUAUGCCUUCGCAGCAGUCAUGCCCUGCUGGGUACUCUGGGCUUACAACGUGUCCUUUGGCCACUGCCUUAUCCCUCUCUGGGGUAAGGCCGGUCUUGCUGUCUCCUAAGACAUUUUGAUUCCCCAAGCUUUACUGCAGUCAACUCACUACCAAGAUGGUAACAUGAAUCAGCCGCAAUUCAACCAUGGUAUACAACAGCUGCCAUGGUCUUUUUCCAGUAAGCCUUUGCUGCAGUAACUGUCAUCCUUCUAGCUGGGUCGGUGCUUGCUCAAAUAAGCAUUAAAGCUUGGAUGGCCUUUGUGCCAUUGUGGAUCCCGUUUCCCUACAGUGUUGGGGCAUACAGUAUGGGGGCUGGAGGCUUCCUCUUCCAGUGCGGAGUCAUGACUAUUCAGGAGGUUCUGUUGUGCGUCUUGCUUCCAGAGCUGCAAGUUUCACUGCUGCUUACCAGGUAGGUGCCUUUUUCUGUCACACAGCCACUGACAUCCGCGCCUUCUGAACCUCGUCACAAAAUCAUAUUUACUCUGCUGUCUUCUACAGGUUGGAACAAGGUUCCAGGCAGAUUGAGAUGAAUUCCCGCCAAACAAUCUAUUGUUAGCGCUAACUGGAGCAGGCAUACUUUGGAUGGGUAGGACCGGAUUCAACAGAGGUGAUGCAUUUGCUGCUAAUGUUGACUCCUCCCUGGCAGUUCUCCAUACUCAUAUUUGUGCAGCAACUAUUCUCCUAAUGUGGACUUGCUGGGAUGUGAUUUUCUUCAAGAAACCAUCAGUUAUUGGAGCAAUCCAAGGAAUGAUAACGGGGUUGGUUUGUAUAAAUCCUUCCCAAUCACACGUCAGUGAAAGGAUUCUGGUAAGUAAACGGAGCUUCUCUUAAAAAUUGUUCCCACUGGACUUGCAGGCUCAGUUCAAGGAUGGGCAGCACUUGUAAUGGGCAUAGCCUCAGGAGCUAUUCCUUGGUACACCAUGAUGAGUUUGACCAGGAAACUAAAAAUACUACAAAAGAUAGAUGAUCCUCUUGGUGUAUUUCAUACUCAUGCUGUUGCUGGAACCUUAGGUUGGGCACUGACAGGACUAUUUGCCCAUCCAAGCCUUUGUAGCAUGUUCUUAGCAGUUCCUGAUUCCAAGGGGACCUUCUCUGGAAGCAAAGGAGGAAUUCAACUCCUCGAGCAGUUGGUUGGAGCAAGCUUUAUCAUUGGCUGGAAUGUAGUCAUCACCUCUGUCAUUCUAUCCCCUCCGCAUGUCUGAGGAGCAACUGAAGAUUGGAGAUAAUGCAGCCGAUGGAGAAGAAGCUUAUGCUCUUGCUGGACAAGGGCAACAGGAGAAAACCAUACACAAUGGUAGCACACAACAUUAUUUAGAUGGCCAAAUUCCCUGAAUUUUGAGUUUCGUAUGCUCAGAGCUAUCCGUUGUAUGAAGAUGAGGAAAGAACCAUCAUAAUUAGAGUAAGGCUAUUCUUUUCAUGGAUUUGAAAAAAUUAAAAAUUUAUGUGUAGUUGAAACAGCCAAGCAACCAUAUUGAGUUAUUUGACAAAGAGACGGAGUUUGCACUCAAGAAAUAAGAUUUGGCUUAUUAGCUAUUGAAAGAAGUGAGUCAAAUAAGUGCCUGCAUAACCUGAUGUUUGUGCAGCCCAUAUUUCACCCAAUCCAAAUCCAGAUUGCUAUAAAUAGUAAAACUGUUCUGACUUCUGAUUCAUUCUCUAGAAAAGGCAGUUGGGUGCAUUAUGAAGACUACCACAGUAUAUUAAAUCACGGGAUUGAGUAUAUAGUCAAGUACUGCAAUGUUUCCCCUAAAAUACAGGAAGAUAAGGACUUAUCAUGAUAAACAAAAUUAAGAUCACAACAUGCAAUCCAAGUUGGAGACAAAAUUAAACAGUAGAAGCCAUCUAUUAUUAAAGCAUAACACGUAUUCUCUAAUGUGGGAAGAUUUGCAUCCGAAAAAGGCUUAAGUCUAACAAUUAAAAACAAAAAGAAUAGUACCACAUGCAAGUGUGUACAUCACCUUACACAUUGCAAACUCCCCAGUAAUAUACUCCAAACUGGAGAUAGCUACAACUAGUCAAAUUGUUCCCACUCCUGGGUCACCUUAAUGGAACAUGGCACAGGGGUUGGAGCAUUAGGAUCAGCUACUCCAGCAUCAAAUGUCUCCCAGUUAGUUGUUACAGAUACAGCAUUAGUGCAGUCACUGAAGGGGUUGGAGUUUCUUGCCCUGAGGGUGUCCAUUGUUUCCACUAAGCUCUGAACUCUGCAGACCUGCAAAAAGAGUCAUAAACGGAUAUUGUUUCCUCCAAUUUGAUAUCCUAAAACAUUCAAAUAAAUACUCUUGGUAUCCAAGAAAAGCAAAUAAUAGACUAUUGUAAAACACACAUAAAUUUUUUCUUUUCAAGGUAAGCAUAUGCACAUAAGAGUUUACAGCUGGCAUAAACAAUUGUGCUCUAAAUUCACCAUGCUCAAGUGAGUUUAAAGUAAAUUGGAUUUUAUAAUAUGACCAGAAAAAAAUGGGAACCUCUAAUUGUGAAUUCCCAAAUGCUUUGCUUGAUGGUUGAUAUAUGCCAAAAUGUAAAACUUAGAAGCAUCAACAAC
Molecule: long non-coding RNA, 11515 nt
Filed under: Coffea arabica (coffee)
Lineage: Eukaryota; Viridiplantae; Streptophyta; Magnoliopsida; Gentianales; Rubiaceae
Description: long non-coding RNA (CARA_LNC003934)
Source: RNAcentral